CUGCUGAAAUUGGGAACGACAUUAAACAUUCCACUUGGGAACCGGAGGAAAGUUCAUCAUUAAACCGAGCAGUGACUGCAGAAGCAGAGACAAAGUUAACUCAGAGACCCGCGGACCAAUCGACGAAAACCUCAGCUGAAUUUUCCAUGCCUGCUUCAACAGGAUUUGGGACUUCAACUUUAAAAUCAGUUCCUACGCCAUCCACUCCUAUACGACAUUCUGAUCUUCAGAAUGAUUCUGGGCAAGAAAAAUGCUUGGGAUCUUGUAGUAACCGAAGAUAUUCGAACAGGGUGAUUGUUUGGAGGUGCUGGUAAUCGACUGGGGAUACAAAGUUAAAAAUCACGCUUUUACGAUCUCAUACUCCAUAAACACUAGAUGAAGGAGCAGCACU
This is a non-coding RNA of Chiloscyllium plagiosum (whitespotted bambooshark), 391 nucleotides long. The record is from RefSeq and is a predicted model, not a curated record. Lineage: Eukaryota; Metazoa; Chordata; Chondrichthyes; Orectolobiformes; Hemiscylliidae.